GGCUUCAUGGUCUAGUGGCAUGAUUCGAUGUUUGGGUUAUAGCGUGCCUAAAUUCAUCGAGGUCCCGCGUUCGAAUCGCGGUGGAGCCC
This is a non-coding RNA of Lineolata rhizophorae, 89 nucleotides long. The record is from the annotation of a GenBank genome assembly. NCBI's taxonomy places the organism in Eukaryota, Fungi, Ascomycota, Dothideomycetes, Lineolatales, Lineolataceae.